Molecule: ribosomal RNA, 253 nt
Filed under: uncultured bacterium
Lineage: Bacteria
Description: partial 16S ribosomal RNA
Rfam family: Bacterial small subunit ribosomal RNA
Source: RNAcentral
UACGUAGGGGGCAAGCGUUGUCCGGAAUCAUUGGGCGUAAAGAGCGUGUAGGCGGCCAGAAAAGUCCGCUGUGAAAACUCGAGGCUCAACUUCGAGCUGUCGGUGGAAACUUUCUGGCUAGAGUCCGGAAGGGGAGACUGGAAUUCCUGGUGUAGCGGUGAAAUGCGCAGAUAUCAGGAGGAACACCGGUGGCGAAGGCGGGUCUCUGGGCCGAUACUGACGCUGAGGAGCGAAAGCGUGGGGAGCGAACAGG